This is a non-coding RNA of Oncorhynchus mykiss (rainbow trout), 2586 nucleotides long. NCBI's taxonomy places the organism in Eukaryota, Metazoa, Chordata, Actinopteri, Salmoniformes, Salmonidae. The record is from RefSeq and is a predicted model, not a curated record.
AGGCCAGUCAUGACACAGGUGUGGUCCAUCAAGUGAGGUGAUGGCCAGCAUCAGUUUACAGACAGGAGUGACUGGGGUGUGUGGGUAUUUGAUUUAGCCUAUAGAUUUACCAAGCUCAGUUCCAAGGAGAGACACAGUCGUAAAAAGACCUUGAAGACACAACCCACCAAUCACAGACUUCAGUCAACCUCAUCCUGAGUCUACCCACCAAUGUCUACGUCCUGUGGCUGAUACUGACCGGAGCCGGAGGGACGGUGGCCUCAGAGUUCUUCGCUCUCAACUUGGCUGUAUCUGAGAUCCUCUACUGCCUGUGUGCUGUCUUUGUCUUUGUCUACAUACACCUCCCUAUUCCCCCUAUAUCAACUGUAAUUUCAUUCUUUAAUGGUUUUAUAUACCACGGCCGCCCCCUGUUCCAGUGCUGUAUAUGUUUUGAGCGCUACCUGGCAGUUGUCCACCCUGUGGUCUUCCUGAAGUACAGACCCCUGAGGUACAAGGUGGGGUGCUCUGGAUUGGUUUGCCUGGUUUUGUUUGGGUUCGGUUUAACUUCUACGAUUGUAAAAGACCACCAAAUUUACAGAUAUGUGUAUGUGGGUGAAGUUCUGGUCUUACUUUUAUUUAUGUUAUUCUGCUGCCUGUCAGUUCUCAGGGCUCUGAAACAGCCUGGGCCGGGGGAAGGGGAGAGAGAGCGGGAGGGGACAAAUAACAUGAAGAUGAGGGCGUUUAAGAUCAUUUUGAUAACCUUGGUGUCUAUGAUGACAAACUACCUUCCAUGGCUAGUGGUUUUACCUUUUAAUGAAAUCUUAGAUCUACGUCAUUUUUUUUAUGCCAGAUAUGUGUGUAUCUACAUCAGUGUGGUCUGUGGGUUUGUGCAGCCCCUCCUCUACCUCCACCGGGCUGGGAAACUGCCCUUUAUCAAAGGUCUCUGAGUGAGAGUUUAUAUUCCCAGAUUCAUCAGAUACAGAGGGCCAAUUGUAACCUGUUUACAACUGUUAUGUGAUAGCUUGUAAAGAGGUUGGUAGUUGUAGAUGCACUGGCAAAAUAUGUUUUUGUUUAGUUUUGCAAUAUUCUGGUAACUUGACCUAAAAGGUUCUCCAGAAAUCCUGGUCAGAAGAUUCCAGUAAUCAGGAGGAAGGAAAUCCAGAAUUUUUCAUUCCUAGGUUUGAUUCAUUACCUUUCAUCUGGGAAGAUUGCUUAUCAAUCUUCUUGCUAGUGCUUCACAUUGUGUCUUUGUGUUUAAUAGUGAGAUAGGACUAGAAGGCCCACAUAAUUUUUUUUUUGUUUUUAAAUAUUUAAUAAAUGUUUGUGUUGAACUAUUCAUGUCUUUUACUUUUUGUAGAGCAUUAGUUUUUUUAAACUCUUAGCGGUCUUUGCAUGCACAUUUGGGACUCUAAGAUAGGUUUGAGUCCAGUCAGAGUAAACAGGCUAUUUGCAUGUCAGGUCAAGGGAAAUAUGAUAUACGACUGCAGGCAGGGGGUCAGACACUCCUCUUUUUGGUGCUCUGGUCUGUGUCCAAAAUGGCACCCUAUACCAUAUAAAAGGGCUCUUGUCAGAAGAUGUGCACUAUAUAGGGAAUGUGGAGACAUUUUGGACGCACAUUGAUUAAAUAAUCAGUGUGACGUAACACACAGGUGGGGCAGGGAAGAGUCGGGUAAAGCAGAGAUUUGGAUCAGGUCCAGCGUCUGUGACAAGCACAACCGCAACACACCCCAGGGGACAGGGACGCUGCAUCAAUACAGGUUACCAAAAAGUUUUUUUUUUCGUUACAAUUUGAAUUUAAACCACAAUUGAAUAAAAACAAACUGUUGUAAAAUAUAUUAUUAAGAAUUUUAUCUCCACUUAAUCACAAGCAACUUUUACCAGUUGAAUGUAGACAAAAUAUAAUACUUUUCUGGACACUAGAUUGUCAAACUUAAUAUUUUAGUUUCAUUUUGAUAUUCCAGGACAGGAAUAACUCAGGGCAGAUUGUGGAUGAAUACUUUUUUCUUCUUUCUAUCUGUAAAAUGCUUAAGAAUGCCUUUUUGACCAUUUUUUUUAAAGAAAAGUUUAUACAGAAUAAAAAAUGUACAACAUAUCAGUAAAUCCCCAUGGACAAGUCUCUGGAAUAUAUUGAAGAAUAGCCACACAAUGUCGUUUAUGCAGAUGCUUCUGAAACUGAGAAAAGUGACUUGGCGUGAUGGAAGAGUUUGACGUUCGGGAAAUGGCUACGACACGACAAACACAUUUUUAGACCCAAUCGCCAUCUCAUCAAACAAAGUUACUACAUACAGUAAAGUCCAGUGUGUUCCAUUCUUUGUGAAAUGGGCAUUUAAAUUUUGUGCAAUUCGAUGUAGUGAGCUUUGGAAUUAUGGAUGCAUGUACAUUUUAAAGUGGUUCAUAUUCAUGAAAUUCUUACGACACUGGUAUGAUAAAUGAAUGAAAAUAUACAUUUUUUUCAAGACUUUGACAUUUUUAUGUUUAUUUAGGGCAAUACGUGAAGAUUAUUAAAGAGCAAUGAUAGUAGCAAGAGCAGUGUUCGGGUUUCUUCAUUGUUCUCAUGUUACUUUUUGAAAAUACUAAUAUUAACGGACCACAUGUCACGCCAUGACA